UAUCCCUAUGCUUGGUAGAGGGGCAUCUAGUUAGUGAUACCCAUCUAUUAGCACCAAUGACAAAGCAAAUUCCUUGUUUAUCCCUGCAUGACUUUUGGUCUGUGCCCUUGCCUGGUUCACGCAGAAUGAUAAAAAG
This is a small nucleolar RNA of Suncus etruscus (white-toothed pygmy shrew), 136 nucleotides long. RefSeq annotates it as small nucleolar RNA SNORA48. NCBI's taxonomy places the organism in Eukaryota, Metazoa, Chordata, Mammalia, Eulipotyphla, Soricidae. The transcript has a single exon. The record is from RefSeq and is a predicted model, not a curated record.